RNAcentral lists this small RNA (845 nucleotides) under Pongo abelii (Sumatran orangutan). RNAcentral's name for it is "processed transcript". The record is from RNAcentral. Lineage: Eukaryota; Metazoa; Chordata; Mammalia; Primates; Hominidae.
AUACUCACUGUGUGCUGGACACCCCAACCUCAGGUCCCCAUCCUAGCCACUAUAGGGGCAUCUGCCCGAGGUGGGUGGGUGGAACCAAAGGGGACAGAGUGGAACCAGGCAGGCCUGGGUGUAGGUCUUUGGUUCUGGUCUCCAUAGCCUGCUCACAGAUGUGGCUCUGAAUCACCAGCUCCUUUUCUUCUGCAGUCUGGAGAGACGGCCCUCCAUGUGGCAGCUCGCUAUGGCCAUGCUGAUGUGGCUCAGCUACUGUGCAGCUUCGGCUCCAAUCCCGACAUCCAGGACAAGGAAGAAGAAACCCCCCUGCACUGUGCUGCCUGGCACAGGUAUUACUCUGUGGCCAAAGCCCUUUGUGAAGCCGGCUGUAACGUGAACAUCAAGAACCGAGAAGGAGAGACGCCCCUCCUGACAGCCUCUGCCAGGGGCUACCACGACAUCGUGGAGUGUCUGGCCGAACAUGGAGCCGACCUUAAUGCUUGCGACAAGGUGCCUUAUGGGGGAAGACUCAUAUGCACUGGGAAGUGAUCUAGGGGGACCACAAGACUCCUCAGUUUGUUUCCCUAAGAUAACAAACUUGAAUGCAGCAAACUGUAAUUACCCCGUCUCUUCUCUGUUCCAAAGAUUCUGUGAACUUUUCUAUAUUGUAUUUAAUAAUUAAUAUUAAUUUAUGGCAUAUAACAAAAUUCAUGAAUUGAUCAAUUGACUUUGGUCUUUAAAUAAUUUUUAGCUUUUUUAGCUUUAGAGCAGGUACAGUGAUGUUCACUGAAUCCGAGACAAUUCUCAUUGAGGACUAACAUUGGCAACACACUAUUAAUUUUUAGAUAAACAAAGAAAUAGAU